This 253-nucleotide ribosomal RNA is filed under the name uncultured bacterium. RNAcentral describes it as "partial 16S ribosomal RNA". It matches the Rfam family "Bacterial small subunit ribosomal RNA", at positions 524 to 776 of the family's 1533-position model. The record is from RNAcentral.
UACGGAGGGUGCAAGCGUUAUCCGGAUUCACUGGGUUUAAAGGGUGCGUAGGUGGGCAGGUAAGUCAGUGGUGAAAUCUCCGGGCUUAACUCGGAAACUGCCGUUGAUACUAUCUGUCUUGAAUAUCGUGGAGGUUAGCGGAAUAUGUCAUGUAGCGGUGAAAUGCUUAGAUAUGACAUAGAACACCCAUUGCGAAGGCAGCUAACUACACGAUCAUUGACACUGAGGCACGAAGGCGUGGGGAGCAAACAGG